This 301-nucleotide ribosomal RNA is filed under the name uncultured bacterium. RNAcentral describes it as "partial 16S ribosomal RNA". It matches the Rfam family "Bacterial small subunit ribosomal RNA", at positions 509 to 807 of the family's 1533-position model. The record is from RNAcentral.
CAGCAGCCGCGGGAAUACAGAGGGUGCGAGCGUUAAUCGGAUUUACUGGGCGUAAAGCGUGCGUAGGCGGCUUCUUAAGUCGGAUGUGAAAUCCAUGAGCUUAACUUAGGAAUUGCAUUCGAUACUGGGAAGCUAGAGUAUGGGAGAGGAUGGUAGAAUUCCAGGUGUAGCGGUGAAAUGCGUAGAGAUCUGGAGGAAUACCGAUGGCGAAGGCAGCCAUCUGGCCUAAUACUGACGCUGAGGUACGAAAGCAUGGGGAGCAAACAGGAUUAGAUACCCCGGUAGUCCCUGUCUCUUAUAC